Molecule: RNA transcript, 2224 nt
Organism: Panonychus citri (citrus red mite)
Lineage: Eukaryota; Metazoa; Arthropoda; Arachnida; Trombidiformes; Tetranychidae
Exons: 6
Source: RefSeq, a predicted model, not a curated record
AAUUAAUUUUUAUUCAAUUUCACCUAAUUGAGAGAUUUUUCAGCCAAUUAGUCGUUUUGAAGUGAUCGAAUUUCCUUUAGAUUUGAUUAACUAAGAAAAUCUGAACUUAUUUUAUUGCAAUGAGAUGAACAAUAACUGAGAAUCAACAACGAUCAAUGAACCAACUAUUCAACAAGUACUUAAUUGCUCUUUGUGUCCUUUGUAUCAAUUUGUAAUCUAGUCAAGUUAAUUAACAACGUGAAUUUUGCUUAAUAGUGUCAUUUGUUAUUCCUAAUGGUUAGUUCUAAACUCCUUGAUAGUUGUGAUGGUUCCUUUAAUGUCUUUCUACCGAGAGUUACCUCAUUAUCGAUGAUCAAUAGUAACGGUGUUUUGUUUACUCAAAAUGUUUCCAAGUUAACUAAUCACUUUUGGAGACACUAUGAUCUCCGUUCUUAUGAAACAUCAACUCAGGGUAAACCGAACGAACCCAAUUUGGCCUCCGUUAAACACAUAACCAUUCAAACCUGUGGAUCUUUGUACCAGAAUUGGAGAGAGACCAGAAAAGGUUAUGCUGGUGCACCGAAACAAGGAUUAACUUUUAAUGUUGAAUAUGUUGAUACUAAAGAUUUUACUAAUAAUGAUGAAGCUCCGGUUGUUCUUGCUCUUCAUGGAGCUCCAGGUUCACAUAAGGAUUACGAAUCGAUGAUUAAGCACUUAACACUUAAAGGAGUUCGUAUGAUUGUACCAAACUUUCCAGAAUAUGAUGUUAUCCAUUCUACUAAAUAUUUUCGACACUCAACCCAUGAGAGAAAAUCGUAUAUUUUGGACUUUCUUAAAGCGAUCAAAGUUGAUAAAUUAGAUAUGCUGAUAACUCAUAGUAGCGGCAUUUAUCCAGGUCUCGAUAUUUAUGCCAAUGAAGGUUUUCCAAUGAAAUCAAUAGUUCUGAUAAGUCCAGGGGGACAUCGACGUACUCGGGCCAUUAAGCCUUCGUGGUUUGCCGAUAAUAUCGCUCGAAUUGGGCUCAAUCCGGUUGGUAGAAAGAUUUUCAAUAAAUUUGGUAAAUAUAUUCUGAAAUUCGGUCGUUCACCAAUGCGUCUCGAUAAUCUCGAUGGUGUUUUGUUCAGCGCAGUUAUCAUGUUUUUUGCAGAAUUUGAAAGAUUAGAGGGAAAUUUACUAAUUGUUGAGAAAAAAAGACCAAAAUUAUUAUUGAUAUUCGGCGACAAAGAUAGAGUCAUAGAGAAAGAAUGUUUCUAUGAAAUGGCCUCGAUUCUUGGUGCUAAUCAAUCACAUUAUUCCAAAUACGAUGCCAAUGGAAAUUGUCUCAUGAAAGGAAAACAAGAUGAUUGGAUUAACGUGAUCGAGUUUAUUGACGGUGGACAUUUUCCAUUCAAACAAUUUCCAACUAUCAUUAACCAAUCCAUCGAAGAGCAAUUAAACAAAAUAAGUCGAUAAACUAGCCACAAAACAGCAAUUUAUCCACUAACAAUUAACCAAAAAAAAAGUUAAUUUAACUUGAUUACCAAACUUUUGAAUUUCCAACCCAAUAGAUGGCUCUGCAUCUCUUAAAUACUUUGCAACAACAAUUAAAUGAAAAAAAAUCAACUACAAUCAAAAUUUUAAUUCACUUUCACCUUUCACCUUAAAAAUCUUCAAAUUGUCCAACUAAAAUGAUUAAACAAACGAAAUUAUGUAAAUGUCAAUAACCACCAGGAAAAAUUAGAAAACCAAUCAAACUAAUCUACUAAUUAAAUGCAACAAAUUCAACUGAUUAAUGAUUCAAAAAAAUGGGUUAUAACUGAAUUGGAAUCCAAUUUACUCCAAGGUUCUCAAGAUGAUUGGAUGAAAAUAAUUCAAUUCCAACGAGGUGGACAUUAUGCAUUUUUGAAAUUCGCAAAUAUUGUUAACCCUGCAAUCGAACAACUUCUCGGUGAUGUUACUUGACAACAGAAACAAAUUAAACUCGAAGUAGAUUCGAUCGGCUGUCAAUCGAAACAAUCAUUGGAAUAUUCUAAUCAAAGUUCAGAGAAACAAGAAGAGCAGGAGAAACUUGUUCGUAAAAUGAGAUUCUAAGAUAUUGUGAUAACUUUUUCUGGAAAACGAUAAUCAAUUAUAUCAAGAAAUUAACUGUUUUUUAAAUGACCAACUUCGAACGAAGUUUUCCAGAAAGCAAGACAAAUGUCCAAAAGAUUGCAAAGUGAUUAAUAUAAACAAAAAAUUAAGCAAUUAAAGUUAAUUUUCUAUCCAA